UGUUGAUGGCGACCGGCGCACGGGUGAGUAACGCGUAUCCAACCUUCCCUUUACUAUGGGACAGCCCGUCGAAAGGCGGAUUAAUACCGUACGUUGUCAUGUUGAUGCAUAUUUUCAUGACCAAAGGCUUCGGCCGGUAAAGGAUGGGGAUGCGUCUGAUUAGCUUGCCGGCGGGGUAACGGCCCACCGGGGCGACGAUCAGUAGGGGUUCUGAGAGGAAGGUCCCCCACAUUGGAACUGAGACACGGUCCAAACUCCUACGGAAGGCAGCAG
This 273-nucleotide ribosomal RNA is filed under the name uncultured bacterium. RNAcentral describes it as "partial 16S ribosomal RNA". It matches the Rfam family "Bacterial small subunit ribosomal RNA", at positions 83 to 354 of the family's 1533-position model. The record is from RNAcentral.